This 332-nucleotide long non-coding RNA is filed under the name Lathyrus oleraceus (garden pea). Its description in RNAcentral is "Pisum sativum (pea) long non-coding RNA (PSAT_LNC025093)". The record is from RNAcentral. Lineage: Eukaryota; Viridiplantae; Streptophyta; Magnoliopsida; Fabales; Fabaceae.
UUAAAAACCCAAAAACUUUCAUAAUAACACUGUUUUCUUUUGCAAAAAAAUUUUGGUAGGGCUAAAGGUAUGAGGAGAUUAGACUGUACUAAAAAUACAGUAUACUGGUGACUCGUCAGACUCAUGCAUUAUCUAAGACACUAAAAGCAAAAUAAGCAACUAAAAAGCAAUAAAUAAAAAUAAAUAAACUAUCUAAAAACAGCAAAGAAAAUAAACAAACUAACUGAAAACAACAAAGAAAAGCGAUAAAGUCUCCUCCCACACUUAAAUCGAACAUUGUCCCCAAUGUUUCGAAAUAAGAUAAGGGAAGAGUUACCUGACAACCUACUGCU